RNAcentral lists this ribosomal RNA (814 nucleotides) under uncultured bacterium. RNAcentral's name for it is "bacterial SSU rRNA". It matches the Rfam family "Bacterial small subunit ribosomal RNA", at positions 28 to 855 of the family's 1533-position model. The record is from RNAcentral.
GACGAACUCUGGCGGCGCGCCUAACACAUGCAAGUCGAACGAGCGAGAGAGAGCUUGCUUUCUCGAGCGAGUGGCGAACGGGUGAGUAACGCGUGAGGAACCUGCCUCAAAGAGGGGGACAACAGUUGGAAACGACUGCUAAUACCGCAUAAGCCCACGGUGCCGCAUGGCACAGAGGGAAAAGGAGCAAUCCGCUUUGAGAUGGCCUCGCGUCCGAUUAGCUAGUUGGUGAGGUAACGGCCCACCAAGGCGACGAUCGGUAGCCGGACUGAGAGGUUGAACGGCCACAUUGGGACUGAGACACGGCCCAGACUCCUACGGGAGGCAGCAGUGGGGAAUAUUGCACAAUGGGGGAAACCCUGAUGCAGCGACGCCGCGUGGAGGAAGAAGGUCUUCGGAUUGUAAACUCCUGUUGUUGGGGAAGAUAAUGACGGUACCCAACAAGGAAGUGACGGCUAACUACGUGCCAGCAGCCGCGGUAAAACGUAGGUCACGAGCGUUGUCCGGAAUUACUGGGUGUAAAGGGAGCGCAGGCGGGAAGACAAGUUGGAAGUGAAAUCUAUGGGCUCAACCCAUAAACUGCUUUCAAAACUGUUUUUCUUGAGUAGUGCAGAGGUAGGCGGAAUUCCCGGUGUAGCGGUGGAAUGCGUAGAUAUCGGGAGGAACACCAGUGGCGAAGGCGGCCUACUGGGCACCAACUGACGCUGAGGCUCGAAAGUGUGGGUAGCAAACAGGAUUAGAUACCCUGGUAGUCCACACCGUAAACGAUGAUUAAUAGGUGUUGGAGGAUUGACCCCUUCAGUGCCGCAGUAAC